This 669-nucleotide long non-coding RNA is filed under the name Manacus vitellinus (golden-collared manakin). Its description in RNAcentral is "lncRNA (ENSMVIG00005012307.1)". The record is from RNAcentral. Lineage: Eukaryota; Metazoa; Chordata; Aves; Passeriformes; Pipridae.
GCAUUCAGCUGAUUUCUGUAACUGAGGGCCUGUCAUCUCUAGCAAUGUCUCUUUAGGUGCCUACAGAGAGCUUUGACUGCUGUUCUAGGUGUAAAGGAACCCUGGAGUUUCCCCAUCAAAGAACGAGUUCUAUUUGCAGGUUAAUUUCUUCUGGGGAGUGUAGCUGUAUUUUUAUAUGUAAACUCAAUGAACAUGGUUUCUUGCCUGUAAGAAGUCAAAUGUGGGUUUUCAUUCGCAGAGCCACAAGCAUUUUGUGACACUGAGUCUUUAGCCUCUGCUGGUUGGUGAGAACUCUUGUAGGAGCUGACCAGGAGCAAGAAGUGAGACGGAAGUUCUGAGCAGAGCCAAGGAUGGGAAGAAGUCUGAAUCCUAAAACUGCCCAUGGUGGCUCUGCUAACAGAAUGUAAUCAUCUGGGGAUAGCUGGUUGAGAAGACAAAGAUCCCAGUCAAAUAAUUUAUAUGCUUUCAUCUGCCAAGUGUGUUACUGUAUGACCUAUUAAAUACAUAACUCUGCAAUGAGCUGACAGAAUGUUUUUUGGGGAGAGAAUGUACUUUUCACUGGGUUUUCCUGGACAGUAAUCCUUUCUGUCAACCUCUCUCUACUGACACUCAAGACAUUUUGAACUUCUUGGCUACUUUUGAUUAAAUUUGACAGAGCAGAAAGAGUUC